CAGCCGCCGCGGGAAUACGUAGGUGGCAGGCGUUGUCCGGAAUUAUUGGGCGUAAAGCGCGCGCAGGCGGCCUAUCCAGUCUGUCUUAAAAGUUCGGGGCUCAACCCCGUGAUGGGAUGGAAACUAGUAGGCUAGAGUAUCGGAGAGGAAAGUGGAAUUCCUAGUGUAGCGGUGAAAUGCGUAGAUAUUAGGAAGAACACCAGUGGCGAAGGCGGCUUUCUGGACGAAAACUGACGCUGAGGCGCGAAAGCCAGGGGAGCGAACGGGAUUAGAUACCCCCGUAGUCCCUGUCUCUUAUACA
Molecule: ribosomal RNA, 301 nt
Filed under: uncultured bacterium
Lineage: Bacteria
Description: partial 16S ribosomal RNA
Rfam family: Bacterial small subunit ribosomal RNA
Source: RNAcentral